AAUCUCACUAACGCUGGACUCCAUUUGACUCUUUUGCAGGCUACGUGUGCCGCCUGGCCAUUCAAACUGUCAAUUUUAGGUCCAGAAGUGUCCAAACGACAAGUUCUCAAAACUCUCUGAAAUAUGGCUCCCUCCGAGUUAAGCAAUUCUGAAAGGCAUUCUCUGGGAAAAGUCUGUGGAAGAGAGAGGGAUCUUCUUGCAAAUAAUGUGGUCUCAGGCAAGGACACAGCAUCUUGGCUGUCUGCUAAAAAAAAAAAAAAAAUGCCUAGACUCUCAGUGGAAAUUGAGUGUCAAGCUGCAAAAUCUCAAAUGGCAGACUAUCAUCAUUUAAGGAAGGCAGGAGAGAGCCCUCGGCAGGGAGGACGGAGCUGGCAGGCCCUCGCCAGGUCUUGGGGCCUUUUCCGCAGGGUUUCUGCGAGUCUGGGGAGCGCGCCGCGUCCGGGGAAACAGCGCCUGGACACCGGAAAAGGCGAUUCCCUGAGCGCCUGGAGUUGGAGACAAUUCCUGGUUCAGAUUUAAACAUCUUUCUAGGUCUGCGCGGGGCGGCCAUUGGCGGCGGAGUGUCACGUGACCGCGGGGGCGUGCCAAUGUGCGCCCUCAC
Molecule: small RNA, 601 nt
Filed under: Pongo abelii (Sumatran orangutan)
Lineage: Eukaryota; Metazoa; Chordata; Mammalia; Primates; Hominidae
Description: processed transcript
Source: RNAcentral